UACGGAGGAUCCAAGCGUUAUCCGGAUUUAUUGGGUUUAAAGGGUGCGCAGGCGGGAGAUUAAGUCGGUGGUGAAAUUUUGCAGCUCAACUGUAAAAGUGCCGUUGAUACUGUGAGGCUAGGAUUUGGUUGCUGUGGGUGGAAUGUGUGGUGUAGCGGUGAAAUGCUUAGAGAUCACACAGAAUAUCGAUUGCGAAGGCAGCUCACAAAGCCAAGAUUGACGCUGAGGCACGAAAGUGUGGGGAUCAAACAGGA
This 254-nucleotide ribosomal RNA is filed under the name uncultured prokaryote. RNAcentral describes it as "partial 16S ribosomal RNA". It matches the Rfam family "Bacterial small subunit ribosomal RNA", at positions 524 to 777 of the family's 1533-position model. The record is from RNAcentral.